AUACAUGCAAGUCGAACGGAAACCUUCGGGUUUUAGUGGCGAACGGGUGAGUAACACGUAAGCAACCUACCCUAAAGACGAGGAUAACCAUUGGAAACAGUGGCUAAGACUGGAUAGGAAGAUAAAAGGCAUCUUGUAUCUUUUAAAAGACCUAGUUAAUAGGUAUGCUUUAGGAGGGGCUUGCGCCAUAUUAGUUAGUUGGUAGGGUAAUGGCCUACCAAGACGAUGAUGUGUAGCUGGACUGAGAGGUUGAACAGCCACAUUGGGACUGAGACACGGCCCAAACUCCUACGGGAGGCAGCAGUAGGGAAUUUUCGGCAAUGGAGGAAACUCUGACCGAGCAACGCCGCGUGAAUGACGAAGUACUUCGGUAUGUAAAGUUCUUUUAUCGAGGAAGAAAAGCAAAUGGCGAACCAUUUGUUUGCCGGUACUUGAUGAAUAAGCCCCGGCUAAUUAUGUGCCAGCAGCCGCGGUAAGACAUAAGGGGCAAGUGUUAUCCGGAAUUAUUGGGCGUAAAGGGUGCGUAGGCGGUCUAGUAAGUCAGUGGUGUAAUGGCAACGCUUAACGUUGUCCGGCUAUUGAAACUGCUAAACUUGAGUUAGAUAGAGGCGAGUGGAAUUCCAUGUGUAGCGGUAAAAUGCGUAAAUAUAUGGAGGAACACCAGAGGCGUAGGCGGCUCGCUGGGUCUUAACUGACGCUGAGGCACGAAAGCGUGGGGAGCAAACAGGAUUAGAUACCCUGGUAGUCCACGCCGUAAACGAUGAGUACUAAGUGUCGGGUUAAACCGGUACUGAAGUUAACACAUUAAGUACUCCGCCUGAGUAGUACGUACGCAAGUAUGAAACUUAAAGGAAUUGACGGGACUCCGCACAAGCGGUGGAUCAUGUUGUUUAAUUCGAAGAUACCCGAAAAACCUUACCAGGUCUUGACAUGUUUUUGCAAAAUGAUAGUAAUAUCGUGGAGGUUACCAGAAACACAGGUGGUGCAUGGUUGUCGUCAGCUCGUGUCGUGAGAUGUUAGGUUAAGUCCUAAAACGAGCGAAACCCUUAUCGUUAGUUGCCAGCACGUUAUGGUGGGGACUUUAACGAGACUGCCAAUGAUAAAUUGGAGGAAGGUGAGGAUCACGUCAAAUCAGCAUGCCCCUUAUGACCUGGGCUACAAACGUGAUACAAUGGCUGUUACAAAGGGUAGCUGAAACGCAAGUUCUUGGCCAAUCCCCAAAAACAGUCCCAGUCCGGAUUGAAGUCUGCAACUCGACUUCAUGAAGUUGGAAUCGCUAGUAAUCGCGAAUCAGCAUGUCGCGGUGAAUACGUUCUCGGGGUUUGUACACACCGCCCGUCAAACCACGAAAGUUGGCAAUACCCCAAAACGGUAGCCUAACUCGUUUAUUCGAGAGGGCGCCGUCUAAGGUAGGGUCGAUGAUUGGGGUUAAGUCGUAACAAGGUAUCCCUACCGGAAGGUGGGGAUGGAUCACCUCCUUUCU
This 1483-nucleotide ribosomal RNA is filed under the name Crotalaria witches'-broom phytoplasma. Its description in RNAcentral is "16S ribosomal RNA". It matches the Rfam family "Bacterial small subunit ribosomal RNA". Lineage: Bacteria; Bacillati; Mycoplasmatota; Mollicutes; Acholeplasmatales; Acholeplasmataceae. The record is from RNAcentral.